This 65-nucleotide transfer RNA is filed under the name Parnips nigripes. Its description in RNAcentral is "tRNA-Ala". Lineage: Eukaryota; Metazoa; Arthropoda; Insecta; Hymenoptera; Figitidae. The record is from RNAcentral.
UGGAUAAUAGUUAAUUCAAUAACAUUUAAUUUGCAUUUAAAAAUAAUUUUUAUAAAUUUAUCUUU